Molecule: small nuclear RNA, 141 nt
Filed under: Microcebus murinus (gray mouse lemur)
Lineage: Eukaryota; Metazoa; Chordata; Mammalia; Primates; Cheirogaleidae
Description: U4 spliceosomal RNA (ENSMICG00000043914.1)
Rfam family: U4 spliceosomal RNA
About the family: U4 small nuclear RNA (U4 snRNA) is a component of the major U2-dependent spliceosome.
Source: Rfam by way of RNAcentral
AGCUUUGCUCAGUGGCAGUAUUGUAGCCAAUGAAGUUUAUCUGAGGCACGAUUAUUGCUAAUUGAAAACUUUUCCCCAUACCCCACUGUGACAACUUGCAAUGUAGUCAGCAUUAGCAAUUUUUGACAGUCCCUAUAGGGA